GAAUAUUGCACAAUGGGCGCAAGCCUGAUGCAGCAACGCCGCGUGAGCGAUGAAGGCCUUCGGGUCGUAAAGUACUUUCAGCGGGGAGGAAUGGAGUAAAGUUAAUACCUUUGCUCAUUGACGUUACCCGCAGAAGAAGCACCGGCUAACUCCGUGCCAGCAGCCGCGGUAAUACGGAGGGGGCUAGCGUUAUCCGGAAUUACUGGGCGUAAAGGGUGCGUAGGUGGUUUCUUAAGUCAGAGGUGAAAGGCUACGGCUCAACCGUAGUAAGCCUUUGAAACUGGGAAACUUGAGUGCAGGAGAGGAGAGUGGAAUUCCUAGUGUAGCGGUGAAAUGCGUAGAUAUUAGGAGGAACACCAGUUGCGAAGGCGGCUCUCUGGACUGUAACUGACACUGAGGCACGAAAGCGUGGGGAGC
Molecule: ribosomal RNA, 417 nt
Filed under: uncultured bacterium
Lineage: Bacteria
Description: bacterial SSU rRNA
Rfam family: Bacterial small subunit ribosomal RNA
Source: RNAcentral